UGAGUACUCCCUCCGUUCGAAAUUACUUGUCACAGAAAUGAAUGUAUCUAGACGUAUUUUAAUUCUAGAUACAUCCAUAUCCAAAACAAGUAAUUCCCAACGGAGGGAGUACGUU
Non-coding RNA from Triticum aestivum (bread wheat), 115 nucleotides. The record is from Rfam. NCBI's taxonomy places the organism in Eukaryota, Viridiplantae, Streptophyta, Magnoliopsida, Poales, Poaceae.